UCGAGAUGAGCUCUCCCAUCCCCUUGAGGGAGUAAGACCCCUGGAAGACCACCAGGUGAUAGGCCGGAUGUGUAAGGGCAGCAAUGCACUCAGCAGACCGGUACUAAUGGUUCGAGGGCUUGACGGA
RNAcentral lists this ribosomal RNA (127 nucleotides) under Thermoleophilaceae bacterium. Its description in RNAcentral is "partial 23S ribosomal RNA". It matches the Rfam family "Bacterial large subunit ribosomal RNA", at positions 2799 to 2925 of the family's 2925-position model. The record is from RNAcentral. Lineage: Bacteria; Bacillati; Actinomycetota; Thermoleophilia; Thermoleophilales; Thermoleophilaceae.